This 681-nucleotide unclassified non-coding RNA is filed under the name Hevea brasiliensis (rubber tree). Lineage: Eukaryota; Viridiplantae; Streptophyta; Magnoliopsida; Malpighiales; Euphorbiaceae. The record is from RNAcentral.
AAAGACUUAAAGGGAUCAAUACCAUUAUUCUUCAUCUUUUUGCCUCUCAUUUUUCACUUCACUUUAUUUUCUCUCUUCACUUUUCAAUCAAGAGAGAGAAAAGUAAUUUCAUUUCCAUCAUUCUCUCCACUCUCAAUUUCUCUCCUCUCCCUUUCUUUCUUAUCAUUUUUUCAAACAAAGAGUUCAUUUUUCAUCCCUUAGAUUUCUUGUAAUAACUUAGCUUCCGUUCAUUUUUUUACGCUUCUGUCCAAUUCUUCAUAAGCUAUGGGUAACGUCUUUUCAAUUCAAUGCAGCAGUGAUGCCUUGAUCGGUCGUUGCUGGGAUUGCAUUGCUGCUCAACCACUUUAUAUAUGUCAGCUUGAAGAUGAUCUUCAAGAACUCGAGACUGCAAGAGAUAAAUUAAUAGAGUUGAAGAACGAUGUGGAGCGUAAGGUCACCAGUGAGGGAACAUCACAAACAGUGCUGCUGGAUCGAGUUCGAGGAUGGCUUUCAAGGGUGGAUGCUACCGUUACUGAAGUUAGUUCUCUACUCAACAGAGCUGUACAAGAAAGACAGAAAUUGUGUCUCGCAGGCUGUUGCUCCAAGAAUUGCAAGUCCACCUGCAUGUUGGGGAAAAGUGUUUCCCGAAGUCUCAAACAUGUGGUUGCUUUGAUGAGUGAAGGUGAAUUCAAAGAAGUGGUU